GAUGAACGCUGGCGGCGUGCCUAAUACAUGCAAGUCGAGCGAACAGACGAGGAGCUUGCUCCUCUGACGUUAGCGGCGGACGGGUGAGUAACACGUGGAUAACCUACCUAUAAGACUGGGAUAACUUCGGGAAACCGGAGCUAAUACCGGAUAAUAUAUUGAACCGCAUGGUUCAAUAGUGAAAGACGGUUUUGCUGUCACUUAUAGAUGCAUCCGCGCUGCAUUAGCUAGUUGGUAAGGUAACGGCUUACCAAGGCAACGAUGCGUAGCCGACCUGAGAGGGUGAUCGCCCACACUGGAACUGAGACACGGUCCAGACUCCUACGGGAGGGAGCAGUAGGGAACCUUCCGCAAUGGGCGAAAGCCUGACGGAGCAACGCCGCGUGAGUGAUGAAGGUCUUCGGAUCGUAAAACUCUGUUAUUAGGGAAGAACAAAUGUGUAAGUAACUAUGCACGUCUUGACGGUACCUAAUCAGAAAGCCACGGCUAACUACGUG
This 497-nucleotide ribosomal RNA is filed under the name uncultured bacterium. RNAcentral describes it as "partial 16S ribosomal RNA". It matches the Rfam family "Bacterial small subunit ribosomal RNA", at positions 28 to 507 of the family's 1533-position model. The record is from RNAcentral.